This 3701-nucleotide unclassified non-coding RNA is filed under the name Hevea brasiliensis (rubber tree). The record is from RNAcentral. Lineage: Eukaryota; Viridiplantae; Streptophyta; Magnoliopsida; Malpighiales; Euphorbiaceae.
UCUUUCUCUUUCUCUCUCUCUCUCAUUCACAUUUGUACACCGAAGGCAGAAGAAUUCAAUUCCUUUCUCUUAUAGAUCCACUUCAACCUCCGAGCAGUCGCAUUUCUUGGCAGUUUUCUCUUCAGUUUUCUCGGGAAAAAGGAAAAAAGAGAAAGCAAAAGAAGCCAUGAAAACUGUAAAUUCCAUAGGGAAUGUGUCAGCUUUAGGUAUCCUGUGAAGAGACUGAAACGACACAGUUUUAAAAAAAUCCCACCUUUAUGUUCGUUUUGGGAGGCAACAGAGCUUUUCUCUAGGACUAUCUCGUUCUUAACAAUGCAGAACGGGAUCUUUAUAUUUCGAGGUUCUCUAUUUUUCUCUCUUUUUUUUGAAUAUAAAAUAAUAUAUAUUUUUUAAUUUCUUUGUUUUUGAUCUUUUGAGCUGUUUAUAAAACCCCUAAGCUUUGGUCAAAACUUGAAACCAUUUUUCUUGUCCAUUUUGAUGAGGUGCUUUUAUAUGGGUUUUUAUUUUUUCGGCUGAUUAGAAGACACGGAUGGGAGGGUUUUGUAAAUGUGGGUAUUUUAUUUUGAGCUAAUACUGGUGGAAUUAGUAGUGUAAAUUUGAGGUGCUAAGUGUUAAAAGCCAAGAUCUGUGUUGGUGUAGCUUCAAGAUUAUGGUUGAUGAAUGCAGUUUACUAGAACUAGAUAACCCAUAUAUGGUUUUGAUAUUUGAGCCUUUGGUGCUGAUUUAAUGUGCAGCAACUGACAGAAAAAAUGGGGGUCUUAGUGAAUUCCCUAGGUGGAUGUUUUGGGGUUCGUUCAAUUUUGGGGAAGAUUUGAACGAAGUGGGAAGUAGUUAAGUUUGCAAAAUUGGGGUACUUUUGAGGUAGGGAGCUCAAGAUCUCUUGAAAAUCAUUGUUGGGUAUAAGGUGUGUUGACAAUGUCAGGAGCUCCACGAGUGAGGUCAAUGAAUGUGGCUGAUUCUGAGACCAGGCCUGUGUUAGGACCCACUGGAAACAACAAGGCAGCGUCUUUGAGUGCACGGAAACCUGCUUCCAAACAAUUGAGAAAGGUUGAAACAUCGCCUGAGGAAGUUACAUUAGGUGAAGAGAAGAAGGCACUUGUGGUGUCUACUGUCAAUACUCUAUCGCCCAAAUCGCAUUCUGUUAGUGCUUCUUCUGUGCUUCGUCGCCAUGAGCAGUUGUUGCAUUCGAAUUUAUCACUGAACGCUUCUUGUUCAUCUGAUGCCUCCACGGAUUCAUUCCAUAGCCGAGCAUCUACAGGGAGGUUGACACGGUCCAUUAGUUUGGGAAGUAGGAGGAAGCCAUAUGCUUCAAAACCAAGAAGUGUCGUCUCUGAUGGGAGUUUAGAAUCUCCACCACCUUCCUGCGGUUCACAGACCAAGAAGAGUUGUGCAUGGGUAACACCAAACACUGGUGCGUUCUUGAUUUUAGAGUUAUUCAUUGGCAUCAUGUGGUAGCAUACAUAAUAAAGAUGCUCAUAUUAGUGUCAUAACAUGGCAUUUAAGUUUGUCUUUGAAAACAAUAUAAAAUCUGAAUGGGAGUGUGUUUGAAGAUCAAUCUUGUUAAUGGUAGAAUAGGACUUAAGUGGUUUCAUUUGGAACUUGGAAGUGCUGUUAUGCUUGCCUCUUAUGUUUCACAAUCCUGAAAAUGUAAAGUUGGGUCUGGUUAGUAUGAUACAAAUGUUAUGGGACUGGCAGAUCUUUGUCAAUACAUAUUCUAAUUAGGUCGUUUUGUUUGGAACGGUUUGUUUCUUUCAUCAGCCCUUAAGUUAACCAACCUGUCUAGGAUCUUGUCUUGUUUUUUCAAUUCCCCCAAAACAGAAAUGUUUUUAAGUUUUGAUGGCUUAAGGCCACUAGAAAAAGCCAGCUAAAGUGUUUCUCUAUUAGUUAGAUUUUAACAGUAUUCAGGAGUCAGGACACUCUGUGGCCUGAUGCAGGUCUUGUUUAACAUGUAAUUUAUUGAAGUGUACUUAUUAAUUUAGUACAAUUUUAUAUAUAUGCAUGUGAUCAUAUGGAGCAAGGUGAGGCGGUUACAUGAAUAUGAUGGUUUAUGGUGGAGGCUAGGCCUGUGUUUUAUGCUGUUUAAUAUACUUGUUGAGUUGUUUCAUGUUUCCAAAAGGUAUUUUAAUCAUUUUGUUAACCUGGAGAUUGCUGUAAUUUUUGAAGAACUGAGCUAAACCAUCAAAAACUGGGUCAAGUUAAUUGUCCUGUUUUUCUAAAACAAAUUCACAAUGCCACUGCAUAAGAGAACAAAUAUAAUUUAAUGCAUAUAAUCUAUCUAAUUUAUAAUGCUUGUGAAGUGCUAUUUGUAAUAACUUUUAUUUUGACAUUUUGAUAUAUAAUAAGAGAUCCCAAAGCCUGAUAGCUGGUUACUUUACUCCUCAUCAUGUCAAUUCAUUGACUUUGGAUUUUUUUUUCUUUUUUUAAAAUUUUAUAAUGCAUUUCUCAUAACCAUCUGGAAACAAGAUGCAAGUUGUGAGUCUAGCCAAAGUCAUUUCCUGAUUAUGGUAUUCUUUUGUCGGAAAUUAAGUUAAACUGAAUGUGCAAUUUGUGCCUUGAGUUUUGUCUAAGGAGUGAAUAUUUUGAAUAACGAAGAUACACCUCUGUCCAAUAAGUAAAUGAAAUAAAACUCACCGAGGCUUACCCAGAUGCUUCAACUAUGGCCAUUAUAGGUGAUUAUUACUAAGUAGUUUGUUAUAUUUUGAAAUCAGAUCCUUGUUAUGCUGCGUUCCAUGAUGAAGAAUGGGGAGUUCCAGUACAUGAUGACAAGAAAUUGUUUGAGCUUCUUGCUCUUUCGGGUGCUUUGGCUGAACUUACUUGGCCUGCCAUUCUAAGCAAAAGACACAUAUUUAGGGAAGUUUUUGCAGAUUUUGAUCCAAUUUCUGUCUCAAAAUUUAAUGAGAAAAAGAUGAUGGCACCAGGAAGCACUGCAAUCUCCUUAUUAUCAGAAGUUAAAUUGCGUGCAAUCAUUGAGAAUGCGCGCCAAAUAUCCAAGGUUUCAUUGAUGACAGGUCAUAGAUGAGUUUGGGUCAUUUGACAAGUAUAUUUGGAGCUUUGUUAACUACAAGCCUAUAGUUAGUAGAUUCCGGUAUCCUCGUCAGAUUCCUGUCAAAACUCCAAAAGCAGAUGUAAUAAGCAAAGAUCUAGUUAGAAGAGGAUUUCGCGCUGUAGGGCCGACAGUUGUCUACUCAUUCAUGCAGGUAGCGGGGUUAACAAACGAUCAUCUCAGGAGUUGCUUCAGAUUUCAGGAGUGUAUAAAUGCAGCAGAAGGGAAAGACGAAAAUGGGGUUGGCAAGGUUGAAGGUAUGAUAACUGAUGUUGUCAUGGAGUCCAAAUUAUCUAUAGCCAUGGAUGAAUUGAGUUUCUCGUCAGAAUGAUGGUGGCACGGAUAGCAGCAGAUUCAAUCAUCAGUUUAUCCUAGUAACUAAUUCACGGCAAUGAAGGUGUUCUUGUGUAUAAAAUUUCAUGAAUUCUUAUGUGUCAUGAAUUCCUAGAUUUUGUAGAUUACUAAAAGUGAAUUAAUCAACUGAUGAUUGUUCUCUGUUGGUGGGACAGCUCCAGAUAUUGGGCUGUGCAAUUGGUCAUUCAAUUCAGUUUAGAACUGAAUUGAAAUAAUCAAUUAAUCAAAUAACCAAAAGGAAAAAUUCUAUAAAUCGAAUCAAAUUGAAAUUAACAAUAAAAUCAAAUCAAAUUGAAUUUUUUUU